AAAACGACUCUCGGCAACGGAUAUCUCGGCUCUCGCAUCGAUGAAGAACGUAGCGAAAUGCGAUACCUGGUGUGAAUUGCAGAAUCCCGUGAACCAUCGAGUCUUUGAACGCAAGUUGCGCCCGAGGCCCUUCGGCCGAGGGCACGCCUGCCUGGGCGUCACGC
This 164-nucleotide ribosomal RNA is filed under the name Taquara micrantha. RNAcentral's name for it is "Parodiolyra micrantha 5.8S ribosomal RNA". It matches the Rfam family "5.8S ribosomal RNA". From Rfam's summary of the family: 5.8S ribosomal RNA (5.8S rRNA) is a component of the large subunit of the eukaryotic ribosome. The record is from RNAcentral. Lineage: Eukaryota; Viridiplantae; Streptophyta; Magnoliopsida; Poales; Poaceae.